GGCCAGCAGCCGCGGUAAUACAGAGGUCCCAAGCGUUGUUCGGAUUCACUGGGCGUAAAGGGUGCGUAGGUGGUGAGGUAAGUCGGAUGUGAAAUCUCUGAGCUCAACUCAGAAAUGGCAUUGGAAACUACCUUGCUUGAGGAUUGGAGGGGGGACUGGAAUUCUCGGUGUAGCAGUGAAAUGCGUAGAGAUCGAGAGGAACACCAGUGGCGAAGGCGAGUCCCUGGACAAUACCUGACGCUGAGGCACGAAAGCUAGGGGAGCAAACAGGAUUAGAUACCCUGGUAGUCCUAGCCGUAAACGGUGUGCACUUGCUGUAAGAGGAAUCGACCCCUUUUGUGGCGAAGCUAACGCGUUAAGUGCACCGCCUGGGAAGUACGGUCGCAAGAUUAAAACUUAAAGGAAUUGGCGGGGGAC
RNAcentral lists this ribosomal RNA (417 nucleotides) under uncultured bacterium. RNAcentral's name for it is "bacterial SSU rRNA". It matches the Rfam family "Bacterial small subunit ribosomal RNA", at positions 506 to 921 of the family's 1533-position model. The record is from RNAcentral.